Molecule: ribosomal RNA, 253 nt
Filed under: uncultured Armatimonadota bacterium
Lineage: Bacteria; Bacillati; Armatimonadota
Description: uncultured Armatimonadetes bacterium partial 16S ribosomal RNA
Rfam family: Bacterial small subunit ribosomal RNA
Source: RNAcentral
UACGGAGGGGGCGAGCGUUGUCCGAAGUUACUGGGCGUAAAGCGCGCGUAGGCGGGUUGGCAAGUCCGCUGUGAAAGCCCGGAGCUCAACUCCGGAGGGUCGGUGGAUACUGCCAGUCUUGAAGGUGCUAGGGAGAAGCGGAAUUACAGGUGUAGCGGUGAAAUGCGUAGAUAUCUGUAGGAACACCAGUGGCGAAGGCGGCUUCUUGGGGCAUUCUUGACGCUGAUGCGCGAAAGCUGGGGGAGCGAACGGG